CCUCCUUUUAAAGGAGUAUCUCGGAGCGAUCCGAGAGAGGUCGAACCGGUAAUCGGUUAGACCGUCGCAUACUAUAGAAUUAUGGGCUUGUAGCUCAGGUGGUUAGAGCGCAUCCCUGAUAAGGAUGAGGUCCGUGGUUCGAGUCCACGCAGGCCCACUUGAAUUACAACCCUUAAAAAAUUAUGGGGCUGUAGCUCAGUUGGGAGAGCGCCUGAUUUGCAUUCAGGAGGUCGCAGGUUCGAUCCCUGUCAGCUCCACAGCAUUAAAAAUUUUAGUUUUUUGACAAUUUGGAAAUUGGAAAGAUUGAAUCACCUGUCCGGUGAUUCAAUGUAGCCAAGUCAUCUUCAAGAACAACACUUUGGUAAAGCUACUAAGGGUGUACGGGGGAUGCCUAGGCACAUGGAGACGAUAAGGACGUGAUAAGCUGCGAUAAGCCUCGGGUAGGUGCAAAUAACCUUAGAUCCGAGGAUUCCGAAUG
RNAcentral lists this unclassified non-coding RNA (478 nucleotides) under uncultured delta proteobacterium. RNAcentral's name for it is "partial 16S-23S ribosomal RNA intergenic spacer". The stretch from base 361 to 478 matches the Rfam family "Bacterial large subunit ribosomal RNA", at positions 1 to 120 of the family's 2925-position model. Lineage: Bacteria; Deltaproteobacteria. The record is from RNAcentral.